Molecule: ribosomal RNA, 254 nt
Filed under: uncultured bacterium
Lineage: Bacteria
Description: partial 16S ribosomal RNA
Rfam family: Bacterial small subunit ribosomal RNA
Source: RNAcentral
UACGUAGGGUGCGAGCGUUGUCCGGAAUUAUUGGGCGUAAAGAGCUCGUAGGCGGUGUGUCACGUCGGCCGUGAAAACCUGCAGCUUAACUGUGGGCGUGCGGUCGAUACGGGCAUCACUGGAGUUCGGCAGGGGAGACUGGAAUUCCUGGUGUAGCGGUGAAAUGCGCAGAUAUCAGGAGGAACACCGGUGGCGAAGGCGGGUCUCUGGGCCGAUACUGACGCUGAGGAACGAAAGCCAGGGGAGCGAACGGG